UGAAGUAAGUAAGGGCGUACGGUGAAUGCCUUGGUGCCAACAGGCGAAGAAGGACGCGGCAAGCUGCGAAAAGCCUCGGGAAGCUGCAAGCAAGCGAUGAUCCGGGGAUAUCCGAAUGGGGUAACCUGAUCGAGGCAAUACUCGAUCGUUCAUACCUGAAUACAUAGGGUAUGAAACGUGAAACCCGCUGAAGUGAAACAUCUCAGUAAGCGGAGGAAAAGAAAGAGAAAUCGAUUCCGUAAGUAGUGGCGAGCGAAAGCGGAUGGAGCCCAAACCGAAGGUAUUCCUUCGGGGUUGUAGGACCACGUCAUAUUCGACCAUACUGGAUAGUAGAACAGCCUGGAAAGGCUGGCCGGAGAAGGUGAAAGCCCUGUAGACGAAAUCCAGAGUGGGAAUUAGUGGUAUCCUGAGUAAUACAUCACACGUGGAACGAUGUAUGAACCCGCGCGGACCACCGCGCAAGGCUAAAUACUAGUUGGCGACCGAUAGUGAACAAGUACCGCGAGGGAAAGGUGAAAAGAACCGCUGUGAGCGGAGUGAAAUAGAACCUGAAACCGUAUGUCUACAAAGUGUCAGAGCAGAGCAAUCUGCGAUGGCGUGCCUUUUGUUUAAUGAGUCUGCGAGUCAGUGUUUGUGGCAAGACUAAGGGCUUCCGGCCCGGAGUCGCAGCGAAAGCAAGUCCGAACAGGGCGCAAUAAGUCGCAGGUACUGGACCCGAAGCGGAGGUGACCUACCCUUGGCCAGGUUGAAGCAUGGGUAAAACCAUGUGGAGGACCGAACAGGUGAACGUUGAAAAGUUCUCUGAUGAGCUGAGGGUAGGAGUGAAAGGCUAAUCAAACCCCGUGAUAGCUGGUUCUCUUCGAAAUGCAUUUAGGUGCAGCGUCACGUGCUGAUGCGCGGGGGUAGAGCACUGACAAGGCUAGGGGGCACACCCGCUUACCAAACCUUAUCAAACUCCGAAUACCGUGCAAUGGAACGUGGCAGUGAGACAGUGGGGGAUAAGCUUCAUUGUCGAGAGGGAAACAACCCAGACCAGCAGCUAAGGUGCCUAAAUAACGCUCAGUGGAAAGGAUGUGGGAUUACACAGACAGUGAGGAUGUUGGCUUAGAAGCAGCCACCAUUUAAAAAAUGCGUAAUAGCUUACUCAUCGAGUGAUCCUGCGCCGAAAAUGAUUGGCGAUCAAGCGUUAUACCGAAGCUCUGGACUUUGCCGCAAGGCAGAGUGGUAGAAGAGCGUUGCAUGCGCGUCGAAGGGCGAUGGCGACUGACCCUGGAGCACAUGCAAGUGAGUAUGCAGACAUGAGUAACGUUAAGCCGGGUGAAAUCCCCGGCCGCCGUAAACCCGAGGUUUCCAGGGCAACGUGUUUCGUCCCUGGGUUAGCCGGGACCUAAGCCGAGGCCGAGAGGCGUAGGCGAUGGACAUCAGGUUAAUAAUCCUGAGCUCGCAACCCUUAAACUGGGGGGACGCAUGAGAAAAGAUGACUAGGUUAUUGAAUUCCGAGUUGAGUCCACGGACUCAGCGCAUCAUUGGAUCGAGUGCCAAGAAAAGCCCCAGCGUAUGCUAAGCGACCCGUACCGCAAACCGACACAGGUGGGUGGGUAGAAUAUACCAAGGCGUAAGAGUGAAACCUGGUUAAGGAACUCGGCAAAUUAGCCCCGUAACUUCGGAAGAAGGGGUGCCUGCAGCGAUGCAGGCCGCAGAGAAAUGGCCCAACCGACUGUUUAUCAAAAACACAGCACUCUGCAAAGACGCAAGUCGAAGUAUAGGGUGUGACACGUGACCAAUGCCGAAAGAUUAAGGCAAGGGGUUAGCCGCAAGGCGAAGCUCUAAACCCAAGUCCCGGUGAAUGUCGGCCGUAACUAUAACGGUCCUAAGGUAGCGAAAUUCCUUGUCGGGUAAGUUCCGUG
RNAcentral lists this ribosomal RNA (1907 nucleotides) under human metagenome. Its description in RNAcentral is "bacterial LSU rRNA". It matches the Rfam family "Bacterial large subunit ribosomal RNA", at positions 1 to 1987 of the family's 2925-position model. The record is from RNAcentral.